UGAAGAUGAUGUUCUAUGACUGGAAAGGCUGAAACGAGGAAGAAGUGGAAGGAGAAAAUGUAGAUCUGUGAAGAAGAUAACCUGGUUUGGAGUAUGGAGACGCGAGAAGAGGCUUGCUACGAAGAAACUCUCGAGAGCGAAAAUGAGAGAUGUGUGUGUCUACGAAGUGAAAGGGAAGCAAAUCAAUUUCGUGGAGGAUG
Molecule: long non-coding RNA, 200 nt
Filed under: Vigna radiata
Lineage: Eukaryota; Viridiplantae; Streptophyta; Magnoliopsida; Fabales; Fabaceae
Description: long non-coding RNA (VRAD_LNC000934)
Source: RNAcentral